UAACGCGAAGAACCUUACCUGGGCUAGAAUGCCUCUGACAGCCCCAGAGAUGGGGCCUCUUGGGUAAAACCAAACAGAGUGCAAGGUGCUGCAUGGCUGUCGUCAGCUCGUGUCGUGAGAUGUUGGGUUAAGUCCCGCAACGAGCGCAACCCUUGUCUUCUGUUGCCAUCAGGUUAAGCUGGGCACUCUAGUGAGACUGCCGGUGACAAACCGGAGGAAGGUGGGGAUGACGUCAAGUCCUCAUGGCCCUUAUGGGUAGGGCUUCACACGUCAUACAAUGGCGCAUACAGAGGGUUGCCAACCCGCGAGGGGGAGCCAAUCCCAGAAAGUGCGUCGUAGUCCGGAUUGUUCUCUGCAACUCGAGAGCAUGAAGUCGGAAUCGCUAGUAAUCGCGGAUCAGCAUGUCGCGGUGAAUACGUUCCCGGGUCUUGUACACACGCA
RNAcentral lists this ribosomal RNA (441 nucleotides) under uncultured bacterium. RNAcentral's name for it is "bacterial SSU rRNA". It matches the Rfam family "Bacterial small subunit ribosomal RNA", at positions 957 to 1394 of the family's 1533-position model. The record is from RNAcentral.